Long non-coding RNA from Homo sapiens (human), 1407 nucleotides. RefSeq lists it as uncharacterized. NCBI's taxonomy places the organism in Eukaryota, Metazoa, Chordata, Mammalia, Primates, Hominidae. The record is from RefSeq and is a predicted model, not a curated record. The transcript is spliced from 4 exons.
ACCAACCAGCCCAAGAAACAUCUCACCAAUUUCAAAUCCGAAAUCCUUCAUCUAAUCUGGCAAACACAUGUGGCAGGUUUUUCUCACCGCAUAAAAUAUGUUAUAGAGUAGUCCAUCUAUUUCUCUUCCAUGGAAGAGUUCAUCUGGUAGAUUGGACUACCACUUUUCCUUGUCCCGAGUUCUCAUCCCGCAUCCAGGAAGAAUGAGGUUAUGUGGACACCUGGAGGGUGAGCGAGGCUGAGAAAAGCUUUAUUGGGCAACCAGACAGCUCUCAGAAGAGAGGUGACCUGAAGCAGGUAACCCCUAUCUGCAAGUAGGUACUCCCAACUAGUGUCUAGUCUGGCUCUUAAAAGUAAUACCAAACCAUUACUUUUUAAUUGUUCUAUUUGUAAUAUUUACAUUCUAUUGAAUAACUAAGGGAAUUCAAAAUCCUUUGCUUAUAUGUUAAGUUUUUAAAAUGGAAAAUAAAUAAAGGUUGUUAUAAUAUUAUGAUUAUAUGAAUAUAUGACAGGAAUAAAUAUGAUAACUAGACCCACAGAAAAUGCAUGUAGUCCUAUGUCAUUUCAAAGAGAAUGAGGAUGUUGCAAGAGACAGAGCAUAUGUAUUCAGAUUCUUAUAUGUUAAUGCUUUUUCAAAAUCAAGUCAUAAUUAAGGACAAGCUACAAAGUGAGAAAAAAAUACUUGGAAAUCACUUAUCUGACAAAGGACUAAGUAUAGAAUAUAAAAACACCACUCGAAACUCAACAGGUAAUAAAACAACCAAUCCUGUUUUAAAAAUUGGAACAUAAACCAUCACUUCACCAAAGAGCAUAUACAGAUGGAAACAAGCAUAUGAAAAGAUGAUCAACAUCAUUAGCCAUUAAAAAAAUACAAAUUAAAUCCACAGUGAGAUAAUGUAUAUUAGAAUGACUGGAAAAGAAAACCAAGCAGAUGUCACAAAACCAAGCAGACGUCACAAACCAAGCAGAUGUCACAAUAUAAAUAUGCACUUAAUAUAUGAUCAAGCAAUCCCACUCAGGUAUUUAUUCUAGAGAAAUAAAAACAUGUUCAUAUAAAAGCUCAUGUACAAUAUUUAUAACAGCUCUUUUUAUAAUUGCCAAAACAUAGAGAUAAACUGAAUUUCUUCAAUGAGUGGAUAGAUAUAUUAUGACACAUUCAUAUAAUAAUGUUCAACAAUAAAAAGUAAUAAACUAUUGAUACACACAAGGAUUAAUAUUUAAGGCAUUAAGCUGUGCUAAAGAAGUUUGUUUUAAAAGGUUACAUACUGUAUGACUGAUUAUAUUUAUAUGAUGCCUUACAAAAGGCAAAACUGUAGUGAGGAUGAAAUAAUGAGUGAGGCUGGGUGAAGUGGUUCACUCUUGUUAUCCUAGCGCUUUGGGAGGCCGAGGCGGGCAGAUCAUCUGAGGU